UGUGUCGAGGUUUGUGAUUGGAUAACAACAAAGAGAUGUCAGUAUAUAUUCAGGAAACUGCCGGGGUAUAUACGACGUUUUAAUCCCCAAUUGGAACCUCAAAAACGUCAUCAUAAAACCGGUUACUAUGUGACGUAGUCAAAAGCUAUCAGACUGUCAGAGGCUCACAGAGGGAAAAUAAUGACGUGCUUCAGUCAAUAAUACAUUUUUAAUACAAAAUCAUGCAAUUUACGC
RNAcentral lists this long non-coding RNA (234 nucleotides) under Mytilus galloprovincialis (Mediterranean mussel). Lineage: Eukaryota; Metazoa; Mollusca; Bivalvia; Mytilida; Mytilidae. The record is from RNAcentral.